This is a non-coding RNA of Mauremys reevesii (Reeves's turtle), 73 nucleotides long. The record is from the annotation of a RefSeq genome assembly. Lineage: Eukaryota; Metazoa; Chordata; Testudines; Geoemydidae.
GCCUGACUAGCUCAGUUGGCAGAGCAUCAGACUUCUAACCUGAGGGUCCAGAGUUCAAGUCCCUGGUGAGGCA